RNAcentral lists this unclassified non-coding RNA (425 nucleotides) under soil metagenome. Its description in RNAcentral is "partial contains 5.8S ribosomal RNA, internal transcribed spacer 2, and large subunit ribosomal RNA". The stretch from base 2 to 120 matches the Rfam family "5.8S ribosomal RNA", at positions 36 to 154 of the family's 154-position model. The record is from RNAcentral.
CAUGAAGAACGUAGCGAAAUGCGAUAAGUAGUGUGAAUUGCAGAAUUCCGUGAAUCAUCGAAUCUUUGAACGCACAUUGCGCCUUCUGGUAUUCCGGAAGGCAUGCCUGUUCGAGAGUCAUUAACAACCGUUUCGAUCCCUUUCUUUCAGAAAUUACAAAGAGGAAAAGGGUUUGGUUAUGGUGGAGGAGGGAAAGGGAGCGUUUAGCCUGUAAAAAAAGAGGCUGUGUUCCGCCUCCCCCCCAAAAUUGUACAGGCGGUCGUGUGCGCCCACGCAUCGAGGUGUUGUAAAAGCUGCCACGGCACUUUUCACCUGUGCAGUGCGAGAUUGGCCAGCCGGUUUAAAAACCCCUCCAAACAAUCAAAGGUUGACCUCGGAUCAGGUAGGGAUACCCGCUGAACUUAAGCAUAUCAAUAAGCGGAGGA